RNAcentral lists this ribosomal RNA (698 nucleotides) under uncultured Bacteroidales bacterium. Its description in RNAcentral is "bacterial SSU rRNA". It matches the Rfam family "Bacterial small subunit ribosomal RNA", at positions 46 to 733 of the family's 1533-position model. The record is from RNAcentral. Lineage: Bacteria; Pseudomonadati; Bacteroidota; Bacteroidia; Bacteroidales.
GCUUAACACAUGCAAGUCGAGGGGCAGCAUGGUCUUAGCUUGCUAAGGCCGAUGGCGACCGGCGCACGGGUGAGUAACACGUAUCCAACCUGCCGUCUACUCUUGGACAGCCUUCUGAAAGGAAGAUUAAUACAAGAUGGCAUCAUGAGUCCGCAUGUUCACAUGAUUAAAGGUAUUCCGGUAGACGAUGGGGAUGCGUUCCAUUAGAUAGUAGGCGGGGUAACGGCCCACCUAGUCUUCGAUGGAUAGGGGUUCUGAGAGGAAGGUCCCCCACAUUGGAACUGAGACACGGUCCAAACUCCUACGGGAGGCAGCAGUGAGGAAUAUUGGUCAAUGGGCGCAGGCCUGAACCAGCCAAGUAGCGUGAAGGAUGACUGCCCUAUGGGUUGUAAACUUCUUUUAUAAAGGAAUAAAGUCGGGUAUGUAUACCCGUUUGCAUGUACUUUAUGAAUAAGGAUCGGCUAACUCCGUGCCAGCAGCCGCGGUAAUACGGAGGAUCCGAGCGUUAUCCGGAUUUAUUGGGUUUAAAGGGAGCGUAGAUGGAUGUUUAAGUCAGUUGUGAAAGUUUGCGGCUCAACCGUAAAAUUGCAGUUGAUACUGGAUAUCUUGAGUGCAGUUGAGGCAGGCGGAAUUCGUGGUGUAGCGGUGAAAUGCUUAGAUAUCACGAAGAACUCCGAUUGCGAAGGCAGCCUGCUAAG